GUGUUAAAGAAGGUCAACUCUUUAAGCAUCUUUAGGGUUAGCCAAAAUUUUUACUUAUCUUAAAAUCCAUGUGUUUGUGUGUGAAAAAAUUGAUAUAGACUUCUACAAAUAUUUGUUUAACUCAUAGCUAAUAUUGGCAUGCAUACGAACUAUAAAGUUGUAUACUAUGCAAAGGGUUCCAAAACCAAAUCCAUAACCAUGCACAAAAUAGUACCUUAUAUCAAAGAGAGCCAUUACUCCACACGUGAACUAAUAUUUACAAUAAAUGGACAUAC
This 275-nucleotide long non-coding RNA is filed under the name Elaeis guineensis (African oil palm). RNAcentral's name for it is "long non-coding RNA (EGUI_LNC034031)". The record is from RNAcentral. Lineage: Eukaryota; Viridiplantae; Streptophyta; Magnoliopsida; Arecales; Arecaceae.